UACGGAGGAGGCAAGCGUUGUCCGGAAUUACUGGGUGUAAAGGGCGUGUAGGCGGGACUGCAAGUCAGAUGUGAAAAUCCAGGGCUCAACCUGGGGGCUGCAUCUGAAACUGUGGUUCUUGAGUGCGGGAGAGGAUAGCGGAAUUCCUAGUGUAGCGGUGAAAUGCGUAGAUAUUAGGAGGAACACCAGUGGCGAAGGCGGCGUUCUGGACAGUAACUGACGCUGAGGCGCGAAAGCUUGGGGAGCAAACAGG
This 253-nucleotide ribosomal RNA is filed under the name uncultured bacterium. RNAcentral describes it as "partial 16S ribosomal RNA". It matches the Rfam family "Bacterial small subunit ribosomal RNA", at positions 524 to 776 of the family's 1533-position model. The record is from RNAcentral.